CCAGACUCCUACGGGAGGCAGCAGUGAGGAAUAUUGGUCAAUGGCCGCAGGGCUGAACCAGCCAAGUCGCGUGAGGGAUGACGGUCCUAUGGAUUGUAAACCUCUUUUGUCAGGGAGCAAAGGGCGCCACGUGUGGCGCUUUGCGAGUACCUGAAGAAAAAGCAUCGGCUAACUCCGUGCCAGCAGCCGCGGUAAUACGGAGGAUGCGAGCGUUAUCCGGAUUUAUUGGGUUUAAAGGGUGCGUAGGCGGAAUAUCAAGUCAGCGGUAAAAAUUCGGGGCUCAACCCCGUCGUGCCGUUGAAACUGGUGUUCUUGAGUGGGCGAGAAGUAUGCGGAAUGCGUGGUGUAGCGGUGAAAUGCAUAGAUAUCGCGCAGAACUCCGAUUGCGAAGGCAGCAUGCCGGCUCCACACUGACGCUGAGGCACGAAAGCGUGGGUAUCGAACAGGAUUAGAUACCCCAGUAA
Molecule: ribosomal RNA, 464 nt
Filed under: uncultured bacterium
Lineage: Bacteria
Description: bacterial SSU rRNA
Rfam family: Bacterial small subunit ribosomal RNA
Source: RNAcentral